GCCUUUAUAGCUCAGUUGGUUAGAGCGUUGGUUUUGUAAACCAAAGGUCACGAGUUCGAUUCUCGUUGAAGGCU
Molecule: transfer RNA, 74 nt
Filed under: Dehalococcoidia bacterium
Lineage: Bacteria; Bacillati; Chloroflexota; Dehalococcoidia
Description: tRNA-Thr
Rfam family: tRNA
About the family: Transfer RNA (tRNA) molecules are approximately 80 nucleotides in length. Their secondary structure includes four short double-helical elements and three loops (D, anti-codon, and T loops). Further hydrogen bonds mediate the characteristic L-shaped molecular structure. tRNAs have two regions of fundamental functional importance: the anti-codon, which is responsible for specific mRNA codon recognition, and the 3' end, to which the tRNAs corresponding amino acid is attached (by aminoacyl-tRNA synthetases). tRNAs cope with the degeneracy of the genetic code in two manners: having more than one tRNA (with a specific anti-codon) for a particular amino acid; and 'wobble' base-pairing, i.e. permitting non-standard base-pairing at the 3rd anti-codon position.
Source: RNAcentral